RNAcentral lists this non-coding RNA (87 nucleotides) under uncultured Tubulinea. Lineage: Eukaryota; Tubulinea. The record is from RNAcentral.
AAGUACGAACAGAAAGAGAAAAAAUGCGUUUACUUCACUUUCCGGUUUUUUUUUGUUUCUUCCUUUUCUUGUCUUCUUUCCUUGUUC